RNAcentral lists this ribosomal RNA (512 nucleotides) under uncultured bacterium. RNAcentral's name for it is "partial 16S ribosomal RNA". It matches the Rfam family "Bacterial small subunit ribosomal RNA", at positions 28 to 507 of the family's 1533-position model. The record is from RNAcentral.
GAUGAACGCUGGCGGCGUGCCUAAUACAUGCAAGUCGAACGAAACUUCUUUAUCACCGAGUGCUUGCACUCACCGAUAAAGAGUUGAGUGGCGAACGGGUGAGUAACACGUGGGCAACCUGCCCAAAAGAGGGGGAUAACACUUGGAAACAGGUGCUAAUACUGCAUAAUCAUAGUUACCGCAUGGUAACUCUGUAAAAGGUGGAUAUACUACCGCCUUUGGUUGGGCCCGCGGCGCUUUAGCUAGUUGGUAGGGUCAAGGCUUACCAAGGCAAUGAUGCGUAGCCGAAUUGAGAGGUUGAUCGGCCACAUUGGGACUGAGACACGGCCCAAACUCCUACGGGAGGCAGCAGUAGGGAAUCUUCCACAAUGGGCGAAAGCCUGGUGGAGCAACGCCGCGUGAGUGAAGAAGAUCUUCGGAUCGUAAAACCCUGUUGUUAGAGAAGAAAGUGCGUGAGAGUAACUGUUCACGUUUCGACGGUAUCUAACCAGAAAGCCACUGCUAACUACGUG